GAACAAAGGCUACAAGUUUCUAAUUUCAAAACCUUCAUUUAAAGUCCAAUAUGCCAGUUGUACUCAGUCUAAAUAGCAAAGUAUUAAGAAUCUUCAUGAAAGAAAAUAGCUCUGAAGGGCAAAAUCAUUUUAAAAGAGCAAAUCAUACGAUUUGCUGUGUGAAAAUCUUCAGCUUCGUAAUUUUCGAGGUAAAAAAUGCAGAGUAUCUCAGUGUAUAAAUUAAUUUUCAUUUCAAAUUAUACACUUGUUUAAAAUCAAUAGGCUAUGAAACUCAGAAUGAACAUACUAACAAAAGUAUUGAAUCAUAAAAUUCCCUAACUAGAGGAUGCUAUUAAAAACUCCAUAUACAGAGCUUAUCUUUCACUCUUUAGCUACAGGUCUGAUUAUAACUAAACCCUGAAUUAUAUUAUCUACUCUGUGACUCUUGCCUGUCUUGGGUUACCAUACAGGAAGGCUGUGAAGAUUCUUAGGAUUAUUUCUAAAAAUCUGAUAUAAGAACAAGAGAACACUUAAGAAUUAAGCACUGGAUCCAAAAUAUGCUAAUCCUUUUUUGUUAAGAAGUUGAAUUAAGGAGAUCAGUAGCUUUCAACUUAGGCUCUCAGGAAAUUAUAUUCAGUAUGAAUUCCACCUCUAGCCUAGAGGCCUAGAGCAAGUUAUAUAAACCAAAUUUCAAUUUCCCCCUAUAAAAAUUGCAGCAAUUCACAAGUUUAUUAUUUACACAUGUCUACAUUAAAUGAUUAUUAGCACAUAGCAGGCAACCCAUAAAGGUAGAUAUAUGUUGUGAUAAUACUUUUUAAUGGUUAAGGAAAUCAUCAUUGCUUAAUAUUUAAUCUGAAAAGUUAUUUUGAAAAUACGUGGUCUUUGUAACCUCAUUUAAGUUAAAGAGAAUGUUACGACUUCUUGAGGUGACUCAAAAUCUAGACGUGGGGUGUUAUUAAUUUGGGAAACAGUUUUUUAGAAUACAGAGUUACUUAGAGGUAUACCAGAGACCAAUAAUGUUAAGCACAGAAGCACACCUAUAUUGUAAUUCUUAUUGAUUGGGAAUUAUUAGUAGCGUAUGGCUAAUAAAAAGCAAAGCUUUUCUAAACCCAGAACAUCACACUUGCAUGAACUGAAGAAAUGACUGAUCCUACUGCAAUAUAACAUUGUGGGAAGAAGAGGAGGGAGCCAUACUCCCUCCUUACCGGGGCAAGGUCCUGCAGGGGAGAGCACCGAGGUGCUGUACCAUAACCAUAACAGUUCAACUGUAUGACAGAAUUCUCGGUCAGAGUUUUGAAAUUUCAUGUAGAAAAAAAAAUCCAAAAGAUGUUCAGAUCAAUUUAAAUAUUCAAAAAGCUCAGUCCCCAUUCAGAAACAGAUAAACAGUAUAUUUAUUAAAUGAGUUAAGACAAAUAAACUUUACAAAUAGACAAAUAAUAAAAGGCUCAGUGGCUAAAAUAGAUGGUAAGCAUCAUUGAAAGAAAUCAACACCAUCACGGUAUCUCAGUUGGCUUACAUGUGUAAAAAGAAAUUUUCAAAGAGCAAUUUCACAGAAAUGAAGCCAGUUUUUUUCUUAUAAACAAAUCAUCAUUUCUUGGUUCAAAACUGACAUCUGUUAUGAAAAUUACCAUAUCACAUAUUUGUAAGAUGACAAGGAGUAACUCAUCUUCAAAGUGCAAGAAAGUCUAUUUAUAACCACAAAAAAGGCAAUGAAGAGGAGAAAAGGAUUUUUAAAAAAUAUACAAAGAUUAAAAACAUUUGGGAUGCAAAAUUAAACAAUUUUUUGGUUAGAGGAUAAAAGAGUAAAGUGAUUGAAUUACAGAUGCUGAUUUCAGCUAUACAUACUAUAUAAUGGGAUCCAAGAUCUUUAACAGCUUGCUUGCAUUUUUUCUACUUACAUAAUGCUCUGGAAAUUUCUCGUAGAAAUUACAGUGUCUCACAGAGAGAAAUACAUACUAAGCAUGUCCUGCUACUACUUCAUGGAUGUCUUAAGACCCGUUCAUGGAUUAGGGUGGGUGUAAAAAGCCAUUGCCUUAAGUUGAAAAAUGAAUACUGUAAAAGCUCAAUACAAAUCCUCCAAAGCACAUGCACGUCUAAAUCUUUUGGAAAUUACAUUCAUAUUUAAGCAUAACCAAAAUAAAAAAGAAAACUGAAAGCAUUUCCCUUUUCUCUAUCCCCUAUGCCCUGUAGGCUUCUCCAGUUGAUAGGGUCAAUUUUUAAGAGUUGAAAGGGUUCUUCAAGAGUCUAGUAGACUACCCUCAUUUCGGGCAGAUAAUUUUUUUUCAAGGUCAUGCAGCACAUUUAUGGCAAAACCAAGACUAGAAACCAGUUCUUGACUUCGAGCCUGGAAUGCUUUCCAGCAGAUCAUGCUACCUCUU
Molecule: long non-coding RNA, 2357 nt
Organism: Sorex araneus (European shrew)
Lineage: Eukaryota; Metazoa; Chordata; Mammalia; Eulipotyphla; Soricidae
Exons: 2
Source: RefSeq, a predicted model, not a curated record